Molecule: unclassified non-coding RNA, 360 nt
Filed under: Hevea brasiliensis (rubber tree)
Lineage: Eukaryota; Viridiplantae; Streptophyta; Magnoliopsida; Malpighiales; Euphorbiaceae
Source: RNAcentral
AUUACUAAAGGUCAUCGCCUGCUUCUAUGUACUUGAGUCCUGAUUUCGUAAUUAAGUAGUAUAGAAAGAGAAAGAGAUUCGUCUUGCUUAUUUGCUUGAUCAUUGAAUUGAGUGCGUGGUAAAUGCUUUUGACUGAACCUCUCAUUGCUCUAUCUCCGAUAGNCUCCGAUAGCAUGCAGCCGAUAAUGAAGACAGAUAUAUAGAAAGUGUGCAGUGAGGGAUCUUUCUAGGUAGCCAGUCUUUACUUAACUCGGCCCAAGCAAUGCCCAAACAAUCCCAUGUCUUUCUUGGUUGGACCAAGCCAACCGGUGAUUUCCGUCUUCCUGAAUUGGGAGAGCAAGAAUUAGUCUCUCUUUUUUU